AUGUGCAUUCUCGCUGGGGACUUCAAUCUCAUUGCUAGGGCCGCGGACAAGAGCAACCCGAACAUUAACAGGAGAUUGCUGGCUGCAUUCAGGGCUUUCAUCAAUGAAUUGCAGCUCAAAGACCUUUACCUUCAUGACCGCCGGUAUACUUGGAGCAAUGGGCAGCAAAAUGCCACUAUGGUGAAGCUGGACAGAGUGCUUUUCAACGAGGAAGGGAAUGCUAUGAUGCCGAGCUGUCUGCUUCAGGCUCUUUCAUCGGAUAUGUCUCAUCACUGUCCUAUCCUGCUGACCUGCGACGCUAAUUUCAGGCCCGUUCAAAAUGUUCAGAUUCAAAAACCAUUGGGUUCGCAUGGACGGAUUCCAGCAGGUGGUCAAUGCGGCGUGGCAGGCUGA
RNAcentral lists this ribosomal RNA (393 nucleotides) under Triticum aestivum (bread wheat). Its description in RNAcentral is "partial small subunit ribosomal RNA". Lineage: Eukaryota; Viridiplantae; Streptophyta; Magnoliopsida; Poales; Poaceae. The record is from RNAcentral.